Long non-coding RNA from Triticum aestivum (bread wheat), 832 nucleotides. RefSeq lists it as uncharacterized. Lineage: Eukaryota; Viridiplantae; Streptophyta; Magnoliopsida; Poales; Poaceae. The transcript has 3 exons. The record is from RefSeq and is a predicted model, not a curated record.
CGAGCAGUCAGUCCGAAACCCUACGGCGGCGAGCGCACCUCCCUCCGGCGAUCCCCUUCCACCGUCAAUUUGAUCCCUGAAUGAUCCUCUUACCCUUUCAUAUCCAAAAGAUUUACUCAUGUCGGAAUAGGACCGUGGCACAAAUCUCCCUGUUUCAGACAACAAAACGACGGCUCUGGACAGUUCUACACCAUUGGGGAAAAACGAGGCUACAGUCAUUAUUCAUCAUGGAGAUUAUUAUGAUAAAGGUGAAGAAGGUGCUACCUCAGAUAAUAUGGAUCCUUCCCGCUCUUUUCUGGUUCUCAGAAAAAAAUUCGUUUUCGAGGUUGUCAUUUCUGGUUGCUUGUGUGAUUGAGUCGUCGACUUGUCUGGUGUGCGGUCUUGAGGCCGGCGUGGAUGUUGGAGUGACGACUUUGGAUCUGGUUAUAGAGUGUCAGCUUUGUUUAUUCGGGUGGUGCAGCCGGUGGCUCGCGUGGUCCGCAGCCUUGGGGCAGGUGUGUAUGUUGAUGAUGUAUUGGUUUUCUGCCAGCUUUACUUACUAACUGGCUAAUUCUUAUUCUUUUUAAUAAAAUAAAAAGGCAGAGCUUCUGUCGGUUGCUCGAAAAAAAUGUAGUACCACUAUGGUAAGGGUGCAAUAUGUAUAAUCACUAUAGGAAGCCCAUAUGCAUCUCGGCAAACGCUUUGCCGAGUGCUGCACUUGGCGACGGCAGCUCGGGAUAACCCAUGUCGGCAAAGGGACGUACGCCGAGAUCCUUUUCAAUCAAGGUCUGAGGAUGAAUCAUUCUAUGUUUUACAAUUUAUAUGGUAUCAGUGUUGUACUUUAUUUUUUGAG